This 92-nucleotide small RNA is filed under the name Chryseobacterium arachidis. Its description in RNAcentral is "Flavo-1 RNA". It matches the Rfam family "Flavo-1 RNA". The record is from RNAcentral. Lineage: Bacteria; Pseudomonadati; Bacteroidota; Flavobacteriia; Flavobacteriales; Weeksellaceae.
CCCUAGCCCCGAUAGAAACGGCAUCCUUUUUUGUUGCGGCGGAGCGAAGCGGAGCCGUAACAAAAAAGAUAUAGUGGAUAGCGGGAAACAGC